AUACGUAGGGGACAAGCGUUAUCCGGAUUUACUGGGCGUAAAGGGCGUGUAGGCGGUCUUGCAAGUCAGAAGUGAAAUUCCUGAGCUCAACUCGGGCGCUGCUUCUGAAACUGCAGGACUUGAGUGCUGGAGGGGAUAGCGGAAUUCCUAGUGGAGCGGUAAAAUGCGCAGAUAUUAGGAAGAACACCGGUGGCGAAGGCGGCUACCUGGACAGUAACUGACGCUGAGGGGCGAAAGCGUGGGGAGAAAAAAGGUUUAGGUGCCCUGGUAGUCCUGGCCGUAAACGAUGAAUACUAGUUGUAGGGGGUAUCGCAUCCCUCUGUGCCGCAGUUAACACAUUAAGUAUUACGCCUGGGGAGUACGGCCGCAAGGUUGAAACUCAAAGGAAUUGACGGGU
This 397-nucleotide ribosomal RNA is filed under the name uncultured bacterium. RNAcentral's name for it is "partial 16S ribosomal RNA". It matches the Rfam family "Bacterial small subunit ribosomal RNA", at positions 523 to 918 of the family's 1533-position model. The record is from RNAcentral.